Molecule: ribosomal RNA, 450 nt
Filed under: uncultured bacterium
Lineage: Bacteria
Description: bacterial SSU rRNA
Rfam family: Bacterial small subunit ribosomal RNA
Source: RNAcentral
GUGGGGAAUAUUGGACAAUGGGCGAAAGCCUGAUCCAGCCAUGCCGCGUGUGUGAAGAAGGUCUUCGGAUUGUAAAGCACUUUAAGUUGGGAGGAAGGGCAGUAAGUUAAUACCUUGCUGUUUUGACGUUACCGACAGAAUAAGCACCGGCUAACUUCGUGCCAGCAGCCGCGGUAAUACGAAGGGUGCAAGCGUUAAUCGGAAUUACUGGGCGUAAAGCGCGCGUAGGUGGCUUUGUAAGUUGGAGGUGAAAUCACCGGGCUCAACCUGGGAACUGCCUCCAUAACUGCAUGACUAGAGUACGGUAGAGGGUAGUGGAAUUUCCUGUGUAGCGGUGAAAUGCGUAGAUAUAGGAAGGAACACCAGUGGCGAAGGCGACUACCUGGACUGAUACUGACACUGAGGUGCGAAAGCGUGGGGAGCAAACAGGAUUAGAUACCCGUGUAGUCC